Molecule: long non-coding RNA, 1161 nt
Organism: Lathyrus oleraceus (garden pea)
Lineage: Eukaryota; Viridiplantae; Streptophyta; Magnoliopsida; Fabales; Fabaceae
Exons: 2
Source: RefSeq, a predicted model, not a curated record
UGAUCGCAAGGUCAUAAGGGUGGAAAGUGUUGGGAAUCAAGUGAUGAGAUGGAGGAGUAUAAAGCCUUACCUCUCUCAGAAAUGACUCAUUUUUCAUUUCUCGACUCUCUCUCUAAAAUAUUUCUCUAUGAACCUCUCUCCCUCUAAACCUCUCUUCUCUCUUUUCUUCUCCCUCCGGCCUCCAUCUCUCUUUCACCCACCACUUACCGGACCACCACGUUCAUCAUGUUCAUCAUGAACGUGAUAAACAUCAACCCAGAAACCUCAACCCAACCCAGGAACUGUCGUCCCCCACCCGGGACCGUUGUGAAACCCAGACUUACGUUUGAAGCUCAACCGGAGUCUCCAACCGAUGUUCAUCUUGGUUAUGAACACCAAUCCUAAACCAAGAACCUUAACCUUGACUUUAUGAACCCUAACCCAAAACACUUUGCCGAGAUGAACCCUAACCCCUUCGUGAUGAACCCUACCUUUGAAGAAAACGAACCUUCAUCUUCUUCCUUCGUCUGAACCUUAACCUAACCCAUAUCUAACCUUAACCUACUCAGAAUCAACUCAAGCCUUCAUUAAAUGAUAGAUUCAAACCCCCAAACACCAAUCAGACAUCAAACAAUCAAUAUUAUCCAAACAUACCACAAACCAAAAAUCAAAUUAUCCAGACCCUAAUCCCUAAAUUUUAACUCCAAUCGCAUACAACAACAGGAACAUCACAUAAUCAAAUAAAGUGGGUAAUUCAUCGCAGUUCUACUCACCUACGGAGAUGAGAAUUUCUCCGAUAAAAAGUAAAAGAGGCUGAGCUUUGAAGAAUUAGGAUUUUAAUGUACAACCCUAACCUUAAUUGGAUUAAAGCUUUGGUGAGGGUUCUGGGUGCUGCAACAAUGGAUUCUGGGGGUUUUCUUUUUCGUUCCCUAUUAUGUUUAAUCCUUAUGUUUAUAUAGAUUAAAAUUAGGUUUAGGAUUUAAUUUUGAUUGUAUCUUUUCGGAAAUUUGUAAUUUGAUUAUGAUUGUGAUUUUAUUUUAUUUUUUGACUCUGUUUAGAAAUAGAAUCAUGGUUUGUAAUUUCAAUGUACUUAGUAUGGUUUUGAUGUGUAUUUCGUGAUUUUGAAUGUAAAUAGAAAGUUUUGAUUAAAAAAUGAAAAUUGCUGGUUUCGAUUUUGUUUCA